CAGCCACAACAGCCCGCUGGCUCGCACGGGGUGCUCUUUACCGAGUGUCCCGCGUGGCCGGCAGAGUUUACUUUGAAAAAAUUAGAGUGCUCAAAGCAGGCAACACUGACGGCCUGAAUGCCUAUGCAUGGAAUAAUGGAAUAGGACCUCGGUUCUAUUUUGUCGGUUUUCUGAACCCGAGGUAAUGACUAAUAGGAACAGGCGGGGGCAUUCGUAUUGCGACGCUAGAGGUGAAAUUCUUGGACCGUCGCAAGACGAACCACUGCGAAAGCAUUUGCCAAGGAUGUUUUCAUUAAUCAAGAACGAAAGUUAGAGGUUCGAAGGCGAUCAGAUACCGCCCUAGUUCUAACCAUAAACGAUGCUGACCAGCGAUCCGCCGGCGUUAUUCCCAUGACCCGGCGGGCAGCUUCCGGGAAACCAAAGUCUUUGGGUUCCGGGGGAAGUAUGGUUGCAAAGCUGAAACUUAAAGGAAUUGACGGAAGGGCACCACCAGGAGUGGAGCCUGCGGCUUAAUUUGACUCAACACGGGGAACCUCACCAGGCCCAGACACCGGAAGGAUUGACAGAUUGAGAGCUCUUUCUCGAUUCGGUGGGUGGUGGUGCAUGGCCGUUCUUAGUUGGUGGAGCGAUUUGUCUGGUUAAUUCCGAUAAC
This 652-nucleotide ribosomal RNA is filed under the name Phricothelphusa limula. Its description in RNAcentral is "SSU rRNA". It matches the Rfam family "Eukaryotic small subunit ribosomal RNA", at positions 685 to 1332 of the family's 1831-position model. Lineage: Eukaryota; Metazoa; Arthropoda; Malacostraca; Decapoda; Parathelphusidae. The record is from RNAcentral.